AGAGUUUGAUCCUGGCUCAGGAUAAACGCUGGCGGCGUGCCUAAUGCAUGCAAGUCGAACGGGAGACGGGCUUCGGCCUGUCUUGAGUGGCGGACGGGUGAGGAACACGUACGAGACCUGCCCUUGGAUGGGGAAUAAGCCCUCGAAAGGGGGUCUAAUGCCGCAUACGGUCCUACGCGUAGAGGCGUGGGAGGAAAGCCCGCGAGGGUGUCCGAGGAGGGGCGUGCGGCCGAUUAGCUAGUUGGUGGGGUAAAGGCCUACCAAGGCGACGAUCGGUAGCUGGUCUGAGAGGAUGGUCAGCCACACUGGGACUGAGAUACGGCCCAGACUCCUACGGGAGGCAGCAGCAGGGAAUCUUGCGCAAUGGGCGAAAGCCUGACGCAGCAACGCCGCGUGGGUGAUGAAGGCUCUCGGGUCGUAAAGCCCUUUUCUGCGGGACGAUGAUGACGGUACCGCAGGAAGAAGCCACGGCUAACUACGUGCCAGCAGCCGCGGUAAUACGUAGGUGGCAAGCGUUGUCCGGAGUUAUUGGGCGUAAAGCGCGCGCAGGCGGUUCGGGAAGUCCAUGGUGAAAGCGCCCGGCUCAACUGGGCGAGUGCCGUGGGGACUAUCGGACUGGAGGGGAGCAGAGGCGAGUGGAAUUCCGGGUGUAGUGGUGAAAUGCGUAGAGAUCCGGAGGAACACCAGUGGCGAAGGCGGCUCGCUGGGCUCAACCUGACGCUGAGGCGCGAAAGCGUGGGGAGCGAACCGGAUUAGAUACCCCCGUAGUCC
This 771-nucleotide ribosomal RNA is filed under the name uncultured bacterium. Its description in RNAcentral is "bacterial SSU rRNA". It matches the Rfam family "Bacterial small subunit ribosomal RNA", at positions 8 to 796 of the family's 1533-position model. The record is from RNAcentral.